UCUACCUUAUCAGUAAGCGGUCCAAAUAGAGUGCCCAACUUAAUGGUAGCAACUAUUUGUGGGGGUUGCGCUCGUUGCGGGACUUAACCCAACAUCUCACGACACGAGCUGACGACAGCCAUGCAACACCUGUCACUGCGUCUCCGAAGAGAACUCUAAGUUUCCCUAGAUAGCACAGGAUGUCAAGCCUAGGUAAGGUUUUUCGCGUUGCAUCGAAUUAAAGAACAUCAUCCACCGCUUGUGCGGGUCCCCGUCAAUUUCUUUGAGUUUUAAUCUUGCGAUCGUACUACCCAGGCGGAAUACUUAACGCGUUAGCUACGACACUGAGGCAGUAGGUCCCCAACAUCUAGUAUUCAACGUUUACGGUGUGGACUAC
RNAcentral lists this unclassified non-coding RNA (376 nucleotides) under uncultured delta proteobacterium. Its description in RNAcentral is "contains 16S-23S intergenic spacer region". The record is from RNAcentral. Lineage: Bacteria; Deltaproteobacteria.